GCCAUCAUAGUAUAACGGUUAGUACACCAGCCUCUCACGUUGGACAUAGGGGUUCGAUUCCCCUUGGUGGUACCA
RNAcentral lists this transfer RNA (75 nucleotides) under Clostridia bacterium. Its description in RNAcentral is "tRNA-Glu". It matches the Rfam family "tRNA". From Rfam's summary of the family: Transfer RNA (tRNA) molecules are approximately 80 nucleotides in length. Their secondary structure includes four short double-helical elements and three loops (D, anti-codon, and T loops). Further hydrogen bonds mediate the characteristic L-shaped molecular structure. tRNAs have two regions of fundamental functional importance: the anti-codon, which is responsible for specific mRNA codon recognition, and the 3' end, to which the tRNAs corresponding amino acid is attached (by aminoacyl-tRNA synthetases). tRNAs cope with the degeneracy of the genetic code in two manners: having more than one tRNA (with a specific anti-codon) for a particular amino acid; and 'wobble' base-pairing, i.e. permitting non-standard base-pairing at the 3rd anti-codon position. Lineage: Bacteria; Bacillati; Bacillota; Clostridia. The record is from RNAcentral.